AACGAACGCUGGCGGCAUGCCUAACACAUGCAAGUCGAACGCUUCCGGGGGCUUCGGUCCCGGGGGGAGUGGCGCACGGGUGAGUAGCGCGUGGGAACCUGCCCUGUUGUGGGGGAUAACCGAGGGAAACUUCGGCUAAUACCGCAUACGCCCGGAGAGUGAUCUUCGGGGAAAGAUUUAUCGCAGCAGGAGGGGCCCGCGUCGGAUUAGCUGGUUGGUGGGGUAACGGCCCACCAAGGCGAUGAUCCGUAGCNGGUCUGAGAGGAUGAUCAGCCACACUGGGACUGAGACACGGCCCAGACUCCUACGGGAGGCAGCAGUGGGGAAUAUUGGACAAUGGGGGCAACCCUGAUCCAGCAAUGCCGCGUGAGUGAUGAAGGCCUUAGGGUUGUAAACCGCUGUCGUAGGGGAGGAAGCAACCGUGAAGAACGGAAGUUGACCGAUCCUAGGAGGAAGGGGCCGGCUAAUCUCGUGCCAGCCGCCGCGGUAAC
RNAcentral lists this ribosomal RNA (491 nucleotides) under uncultured bacterium. RNAcentral describes it as "bacterial SSU rRNA". It matches the Rfam family "Bacterial small subunit ribosomal RNA", at positions 28 to 524 of the family's 1533-position model. The record is from RNAcentral.